This 483-nucleotide ribosomal RNA is filed under the name uncultured bacterium. Its description in RNAcentral is "partial 16S ribosomal RNA". It matches the Rfam family "Bacterial small subunit ribosomal RNA", at positions 28 to 523 of the family's 1533-position model. The record is from RNAcentral.
GACGAACGCUGGCGGCGUGCUUAACACAUGCAAGUCGAACGAUGAAGCUGGAGCUUGCUCCGGUGGAUUAGUGGCGAACGGGUGAGUAACACGUGAGCAAUCUGCCCUUGACUCUGGGAUAACUGCGGGAAACUGUAGCUAAUACCGGAUAUGAGGCUUGGAGGCAUCUCCAGGUCUGGAAAGAAUUUCGGUCAAGGAUGAGCUCGCGGCCUAUCAGCUAGUUGGUGAGGUAAUGGCUCACCAAGGCGACGACGGGUAGCCGGCCUGAGAGGGGGACCGGCCACACUGGGACUGAGACACGGCGCAGACUCCUACGGGAGGCAGCAGUGGGGAAUAUUGCACAAUGGGCGAAAGCCUGAUGCAGCAACGCCGCGUGAGGGAUGAAGGCCUUCGGGUUGUAAACCUCUUUUAGCAGGGAAGAAGCGAAAGUGACGGUACCUGCAGAAAAAGCACCGGCUAACUACGUGCCAGCCGCCGCCGUAA